GAUGAACGCUAGCUACAGGCUUAACACAUGCAAGUCGAGGGGAAACGACAUCGAAAGCUUGCUUUUGAUGGGCGUCGACCGGCGCACGGGUGAGUAACGCGUAUCCAACCUGCCCAUCACUUGGGAAUAACCUUGCGAAAGUAAGACUAAUACCCAAUGAUAUCCCACGAAGGCAUCGGAAUGGGAUUAAAGAUUUAUCGGUGAUGGAUGGGGAUGCGUCUGAUUAGCUUGUUGGCGGGGUAACGGCCCACCAAGGCAACGAUCAGUAGGGGUUCUGAGAGGAAGGUCCCCCACAUUGGAGCUGAGACACGGUCCAAACUCCUACGGGAGGCAGCAGUGAGGAAUAUUGGUCAAUGGGCGAGAGCCUGAACCAGCCAAGUAGCGUGCAGGAAGACGGCCCUAUGGGUUGUAAACUGCUUUUAUAAGGGAAUAAAGUGGGUCACGUGUGACUUUUUGCAUGUACCUUAUGAAUAAGGACCGGCUAAUUCCGUG
RNAcentral lists this ribosomal RNA (492 nucleotides) under uncultured bacterium. Its description in RNAcentral is "partial 16S ribosomal RNA". It matches the Rfam family "Bacterial small subunit ribosomal RNA", at positions 28 to 507 of the family's 1533-position model. The record is from RNAcentral.